UACGUAGGGUGCAAGCGUUGUCCGGAAUUAUUGGGCGUAAAGAGCUCGUAGGCGGUUUGUCGCGUCUGCUGUGAAAACUGGAGGCUCAACCUCCAGCCUGCAGUGGGUACGGGCAAACUAGAGUGCGGUAGGGGAGAUUGGAAUUCCUGGUGUAGCGGUGGAAUGCGCAGAUAUCAGGAGGAACACCGAUGGCGAAGGCAGAUCUCUGGGCCGUAACUGACGCUGAGGAGCGAAAGCAUGGGGGAGCGAACAGG
RNAcentral lists this ribosomal RNA (254 nucleotides) under uncultured bacterium. RNAcentral describes it as "partial 16S ribosomal RNA". It matches the Rfam family "Bacterial small subunit ribosomal RNA", at positions 524 to 776 of the family's 1533-position model. The record is from RNAcentral.